RNAcentral lists this long non-coding RNA (640 nucleotides) under Drosophila guanche. The record is from RNAcentral. Lineage: Eukaryota; Metazoa; Arthropoda; Insecta; Diptera; Drosophilidae.
UAAUUUUUAAGUAUUCCCAAAAAUUUCCCCAAAGUGGGUAGGCUUUGAUAUUGAACUUGAUUGUUCGAGUGCUUUGCCCUCUGUGUGAGCUCCACAGAUUUUCAUUCUAGUCUGAGAUCUCGAACGAUAAACAUAUUUUGGAAAAAAUACAAAAUUCUUUUUGUUUUUUCAAAUCCUACUUCCGUAAACAGGCAAACGUAAAUUAAUUUAAAAACUAAUAUUUUUAAAAAUAUAUAUUCUAUUUUGAUUAUUGCAGAACAAAAACCAAAGAUGUGCAAUCCUUGCUUCCGCUCAAUGCCCGGUACUUGCUGUGGACCAACUGGCGGACUGGGACCCUGUCUUCUGUGCGGACCCUACAAUGGCCAGUGGUUCAAGUCGAUCAACCAUUGCUGCGGCCCGUGCGGACCCUACGGCUGCUGUUCCUGCUAUGGGCCCUAUGGCGGACAUUGUUAGCCUGCUUAGAAGGAAGGUAGGAUCCAACACCGAAGACCAAAAUCAAUCGCGAGACCUUGGAUGAAGAAGAAACUGAAGAGAAAAUUCUGAACAGAGGUGGAGCAAAACAUCUUUUGAAAACAAUCCACAAAAUCAAAGACGAAUGUUAAUAAAUUAUUUGAUGUAUUUUUUCUCAUACAUUUACGAA